Molecule: ribosomal RNA, 253 nt
Filed under: uncultured bacterium
Lineage: Bacteria
Description: partial 16S ribosomal RNA
Rfam family: Bacterial small subunit ribosomal RNA
Source: RNAcentral
UACAGAGGAUGCAAGCGUUAUCCGGAAUGAUUGGGCGUAAAGCGUCUGUAGGUGGCUUUUUAAGUCCGCCGUCAAAUCCCAGGGCUCAACUCUGGACAGGCGGUGGAAACUACCAAGCUGGAGUACGGUAGGGGCAGAGGGAAUUUCCGGUGGAGCGGUGAAAUGCGUAGAGAUCGGAAGGAACAUCAGUGGCGAAAGCGACUUCCUGGACCAAUACUGACGCUCAUGUGCGAAAGCGUGGGGAGCAAACAGG